This 635-nucleotide ribosomal RNA is filed under the name Entoloma cocles. Its description in RNAcentral is "partial small subunit ribosomal RNA". It matches the Rfam family "Bacterial small subunit ribosomal RNA", at positions 351 to 963 of the family's 1533-position model. The record is from RNAcentral. Lineage: Eukaryota; Fungi; Basidiomycota; Agaricomycetes; Agaricales; Entolomataceae.
GCAGUCAAGAAUAUUAGUCAAUGCUCGCAAGAGUGAACUAGCUAACUGAAAUCACAGGAUCCAUUACGUGUGGUGAAUGUAAUAACGUAAGGGAAAAAAAUGAUAUUACCUUACUAUUAGUGUUGUCCAAAACUGGUGCCAGAAGACUCGGUAAGACCAGAGACGCAAACGUUAGUCGUCCUAAUCAGGCGUAAAGGGUAUGUAGGCUGCUUUAAAAGUUUUAAUAUUUAAUAGCUAAUGUAAAAAAUAAUAUUUUAAUUUUAAAUUUUAUUUAAAUUAUUACAAUAAAUAUAAAAUGAAUUAAAGCUAGAAUCAAAUUGAGGAUAAUUUAAAUAAUAUCUAGUGUAGGGUUUAAAUCUGUUGAUGUUAGGUAGAGUACUAACGGUGAAAACUUUUUAUCUAGAAAUGAUUGACGCUGAGAAACGAAGGUGAGAAUAGGAAAUAGGAUUAGAUACCCAGAUACCUCUCACAGUAAACGAUGAAUGGUGGUUGUUAGUUAGUUUUAUUUAACUGAUAACGAUGUUAACACGAUAACCAUUCCGCCUUGCGAGUACGGUUGCAAAACUGAAACCAAAAAAAUUAGUCGGUCUCGAAGCAAACGAAGUGAAGCAUGUUAUUUAAUUCGAUAAUCCGCA